GUGCGUGAAUCGCGACCACUUGCGACGUACGUUCACGGUAUAUAUAAUCGGUUUGUUUAAAAAUUUUAAGAAAUUCGUGUAAAUUGUUUCUUCUUCUCUCUUCUCGUCCGCAAUUUUUUAAUUUUUCAUCAAACUGAUUGUGAAUUAGAUGUGACGAAUACGCAAGAAAUUAAAGAAAUGAAUCAAGAUUAAACAUUCUUAAAUACAAAAAAAUAAUUAUGAAAAAUAAAAAAAAACUGUCGCGUAUAAAAAUUUUUUAAUUUCUUCACGAAACCGUUCAUCAAGCGUCAUGCAUAUAAGAAGGACUUUGAGCAGUCUCAUAGCAGCUCUGCAUCUACAACGCAGAAUUUGUCGGUGCAUCCACAUGAGUGUCUAAUCCAUGAUAUUUGUGAACCUAAUGAAAUAGAUACAUUAUUUAUCAUGUAACCUAAGAUCAUGUACUUUCUAGAAUAAAAAAAAAGAAA
RNAcentral lists this unclassified non-coding RNA (464 nucleotides) under Athalia rosae (coleseed sawfly). Its description in RNAcentral is "misc RNA ENSAEAG00005006766.1". The record is from RNAcentral. Lineage: Eukaryota; Metazoa; Arthropoda; Insecta; Hymenoptera; Athaliidae.